GACGAACGCUGGCGGCGUGCUUAACACAUGCAAGUCGAGCGGGUAAGGCCCUUUCGGGGGUACACGAGCGGCGAACGGGUGAGUAACACGUGGGUGACCUGCCCUCAGCUCUGGGAUAAGCCUGGGAAACCGGGUCUAAUACCGGAUAUGACUCCAUGACGCAUGUUGUGGGGUGGAAAGCCUUGUGCGGCUGAGGAUGGGCCCGCGGCCUAUCAGCUUGUUGGUGGGGUGAUGGCCUACCAAGGCGACGACGGGUAGCCGGCCUGAGAGGGCGACCGGCCACACUGGGACUGAGACACGGCCCAGACUCCUACGGGAGGCAGCAGUGGGGAAUCUUGCGCAAUGGGCG
RNAcentral lists this ribosomal RNA (349 nucleotides) under uncultured bacterium. Its description in RNAcentral is "bacterial SSU rRNA". It matches the Rfam family "Bacterial small subunit ribosomal RNA", at positions 28 to 377 of the family's 1533-position model. The record is from RNAcentral.